AUACGGAGGGGGCUAGCGUUGUCCGGAAUUACUGGGCGUAAAGCGCUCGUAGGCGGUUUGUUAAGUCGGAUGUGAAAGCCCCGGGCUCAACCUGGGAACUGCAUUCGAUACUGACAAACUAGAGUAUAGUAGAGGCAAGUGGAAUUCCGGGUGUAGCGGUGAAAUGCGUAGAUAUCCGGAGGAACAUCAGUGGCGAAGGCGACUUGCUGGACUAAUACUGACGCUGAGGAGCGAAAGCGUGGGGAGCAAACGGGAUUAGAAACCCCGGUAGUCC
RNAcentral lists this ribosomal RNA (274 nucleotides) under uncultured bacterium. RNAcentral describes it as "partial 16S ribosomal RNA". It matches the Rfam family "Bacterial small subunit ribosomal RNA", at positions 523 to 796 of the family's 1533-position model. The record is from RNAcentral.